GACGAACGCUGGCGGCGUGCUUAACACAUGCAAGUCGAACGGAAAGGCCCUGCUUUUGUGGGGUGCUCGAGUGGCGAACGGGUGAGUAACACGUGAGUAACCUGCCCUUGACUUUGGGAUAACUUCAGGAAACUGGGGCUAAUACCGGAUAGGAGCUCCUGCUGCAUGGUGGGGGUUGGAAAGUUUCGGCGGUUGGGGAUGGACUCGCGGCUUAUCAGCUUGUUGGUGGGGUAGUGGCUUACCAAGGCUUUGACGGGUAGCCGGCCUGAGAGGGUGACCGGCCACAAUGGGACUGAGAGACGGCCCAGACUCCUACGGGAGGCAGCAGUGGGGAAUAUGGCACAAUGGGCGGAAGCCUGAUGCAGCAACGCCGCGUGCGGGAUGACGGCCUUCGGGUUGUAAACCGCUUUCGCCUGUGACGAAGCGUGAGUGACGGUAAUGGGUAAAGAAGCACCGGCUAACUACGUG
RNAcentral lists this ribosomal RNA (468 nucleotides) under uncultured bacterium. RNAcentral's name for it is "partial 16S ribosomal RNA". It matches the Rfam family "Bacterial small subunit ribosomal RNA", at positions 28 to 507 of the family's 1533-position model. The record is from RNAcentral.